UGAAAAGUACUUUGAAAAGAGGGUAAAAAGAACCUGAAACCGUUACGGGGGAAGCGGAUUGCGUUGGCCUGGUGGCUGCCUGUGUGUUCAGCCUUUUAUGGUGCAUUGAUACAGGUGGUUAUUCGUCGUGGCUUUUUGGUGGCUGAUAAUGAGCUGCCGAAGGGUGAGGGCUCCCCUUUUUGGGUGAGGACGACGGAGUGACGACGCGAUACGACCCGUCUUGAAACACGGACCAAGGAGUCUAGCGCAGGUGCGAGUCAAAGGGUGUUAAAACCUGUGGGCGUAGUGAAAGCGACUUUUUUUUUAAUAUAAAAACGAGCAGUUUGGGGCGGCAUAGAAUCGUUGAUUCUAGGUCUGACCUUGAGCAGUUGCGCUGGGACCCGAAAGAUGGUGAACUAUGCCGGAGUAGGGCGAAGCCAGAGGAAACUCUGGUGGAGGCUCGUAGCGGUGCUGACGUGCAAAUCGCUCGUCGAACUUGGGUAUAGGGGCGAAAGACUAAUCGAACCAUCUAGUAGCUGGUUUCCUCCGAAGUUUCUCUCAGGAUAGCAGGCCGACACUUUUUUUUACGUUGUUUUGUGC
RNAcentral lists this ribosomal RNA (579 nucleotides) under Halymenia schizymenioides. RNAcentral describes it as "partial large subunit ribosomal RNA". It matches the Rfam family "Eukaryotic large subunit ribosomal RNA", at positions 365 to 1006 of the family's 3401-position model. Lineage: Eukaryota; Rhodophyta; Florideophyceae; Halymeniales; Halymeniaceae. The record is from RNAcentral.